RNAcentral lists this unclassified non-coding RNA (400 nucleotides) under soil metagenome. RNAcentral describes it as "partial contains 5.8S ribosomal RNA, internal transcribed spacer 2, and large subunit ribosomal RNA". The stretch from base 1 to 122 matches the Rfam family "5.8S ribosomal RNA", at positions 35 to 154 of the family's 154-position model. The record is from RNAcentral.
GAUGAAGAACGUAGCGAAAUGCGAUACUUGGUGUGAAUUGCAGAAUCCCGUGAACCAUCGAGUCUUUGAACGCAAGUUGCGCCUCAAGCCAUUAGGUUGAGGGCACGUCUGCCUGGGCGUCACAUAUCGUUGCCUGAUGCCAGUUUCCUCGUGAUGGGUGACUGUGCAGGGCGAAUGAUGGCUUCCCGUGAGCAUUGUUGCCUCAUGGUUGGUUGAAAAUUGAGUCCUUGGUAGGGAGCGCCGUGAUAGAUGGUGGUUGAGUGACGAACGAGACCCAAUCAUGUGAGACCCCUACCGAAUUUGGCCUUCAUGUCCCACAUGCGUCUUUGGAACGCUCAUGACGAGACCUCAGGUCAGGCGGGGCUACCCGCUGAGUUUAAGCAUAUCAAUAAGCGGAGGA